CACGUAGGGCGCAAGCGUUGUCCGGAAUUAUUGGGCGUAAAGAGCUCGUAGGCGGUCUGUUGCGUCCGCUGUGAAAACUCGGGGCUUAACCCCGAGCCUGCAGUGGAUACGGGCAGACUAGAGGUAGGUAGGGGAGAAUGGAAUUCCCGGUGUAGCGGUGAAAUGCGCAGAUAUCGGGAGGAACACCGGUGGCGAAGGCGGAUCUCUGGGCCGUAACUGACGCUGAGGAGCGAAAGCAUGGGGAGCGAACAGG
This 253-nucleotide ribosomal RNA is filed under the name uncultured bacterium. RNAcentral's name for it is "partial 16S ribosomal RNA". It matches the Rfam family "Bacterial small subunit ribosomal RNA", at positions 524 to 776 of the family's 1533-position model. The record is from RNAcentral.